GGGNCCCGCNCAAGCGGUGGAUAUGUGGGAUUAUUCGAUGCACCGCGAAAACCUUACCUGGCCUUGACAUGUANGAACUUUCCAGAGAUGGAUUGUGCUCGAAAGAGAACGUUAACACAGGUGCUGCAUGGCUGUCGUCAGCUCGUGUCGUGAGAUGUUGGGUUAAGUCCCGCAACGAGCGCAACCCUUGCCAUUAAUUGCCAUCAUUUAGUUGGGCACUUUAAUGGGACUGCCGGUGACAAACCGGAGGAAGGUGGGGAUGACGUCAAGUCCUCAUGGCCCUUAUGGCCAGGGCUUCACACGUAAUACAAUGGUCGGUACAGAGGGUCGCCAACCCGCGAGGGGGAGCCAAUCCCAGAAAGCCGAUCGUAGUCCGGAUUGUAGUCUGCAACUCGACUACAUGAAGUCGGAAUCGCUAGUAAUCGCGGAUCAGCAUGUCGCGGUGAAUACGUUCCCGGGCCUUGUACACACCGCCCGUCACACCAUGGGAGUGGGUUUUACCAGAAGUAGGUAGUCUAACCUUCGGGAGGACGCUUACCACGGUAGUAUUCAUGACUGGGGUGAAGUCGUAACAAGGUAA
Molecule: ribosomal RNA, 580 nt
Filed under: uncultured bacterium
Lineage: Bacteria
Description: bacterial SSU rRNA
Rfam family: Bacterial small subunit ribosomal RNA
Source: RNAcentral